Long non-coding RNA from Drosophila mauritiana, 412 nucleotides. RefSeq lists it as uncharacterized. NCBI's taxonomy places the organism in Eukaryota, Metazoa, Arthropoda, Insecta, Diptera, Drosophilidae. The record is from RefSeq and is a predicted model, not a curated record. The transcript is spliced from 2 exons.
GAUAUACCUGUGCGUAAGCCGAUUUUGUAUCAUUAUUAUUUGUCCUUUCGGCCUGAACACAUCAAAAUUUGUUGUCUAGUCUCAAAUUAUAUCUUUUUGUUCGGUUCAAAAACCUUUACGAAUUAAUCAUGUGCUGCGGACCCUGUGGACCCUGUUGCGGACCUUGCUGCGGACCCUGCUGUGGUCCAUGCGGACCAUGCGGAGGCGGAUGUGGACCCUGCUAUGGACCGAAUGUCUGCGGACCAUGCUAUGCCUGUGGACCCUGUGGCGGCUGCUACUGUGGAUACCCUUGCUGCUAGACGGUUGCCCAAGAAGGGUUCAGCAGAACCCUUAGUCAUCCUCGUGCUCAUCUAAUCUUCGUGAACCCCACAAAUAGGUAUUUGAGACAAUAAAAAUGAAGUGUCCGCUUCGA